Molecule: ribosomal RNA, 441 nt
Filed under: uncultured bacterium
Lineage: Bacteria
Description: partial 16S ribosomal RNA
Rfam family: Bacterial small subunit ribosomal RNA
Source: RNAcentral
CCUACGGGGGACAGCAGUAGGGAAUUUUGCGCAAUGGGCGAAAGCCUGACGCAGCAACGCCGCGUGAGUGAUUAAGGCCUUCGGGGUGUAAAGAUCUGUCAGUGGGGACGAAACUUGACGGUACCCACAGAGGAAGCAUUGGCUAAAUCUGCGCCAGCAGCCGCGGUUAUCCGGAGGGGGGAAGCGUUGUCCGGAAUCAGUGGGCGUAAAGUGUUCGUAGGUGGUAUAGUAAGUCUGAUGUUAAAUGCAGAAGCUCAACUUCUGUUCGGCACUGGAUACUGGUAAGCUUGAGUGCAGUAGAGGUAAAUGGAAUUCCAGGUGUAGCGGUGAAAUGCGUAGAUAUCAGGAGGAACAUCGGUGGCGAAGGCGCUUUACUGGGCCGUAAUUGACGCUGAGGAACGAAAGCCUGGGUAGCAAAUGGGAUUAGAUACCCUUGUAGUC